UACAGAGGUCUCAAGCGUUGUUCGGAAUCACUGGGCGUAAAGGGUGCGUAGGCCGCACGGUAAGUCAGAGGUGAAAUCCCGGAGCUCAACUCCGGAAUGGCCUCCGAUACUGCCGUGCUCGAGGACUGGAGAGGAGUCUGGAAUUCACAGUGGAGCAGUGAAAUGCGUGGAUAUUGUGAGGAACACUAGUGGCGAAGGCGAGUCUCUGGACAGUUCCUGACGCUGAGGCACGAAGGCCAGGGGAGCAAACGGG
RNAcentral lists this ribosomal RNA (253 nucleotides) under uncultured bacterium. Its description in RNAcentral is "partial 16S ribosomal RNA". It matches the Rfam family "Bacterial small subunit ribosomal RNA", at positions 524 to 776 of the family's 1533-position model. The record is from RNAcentral.